Molecule: microRNA precursor, 69 nt
Filed under: Eptatretus burgeri (inshore hagfish)
Lineage: Eukaryota; Metazoa; Chordata; Myxini; Myxiniformes; Myxinidae
Description: Ebu-Mir-219-P6_pre stem-loop
Rfam family: mir-219 microRNA precursor family
About the family: The hairpin precursors (represented here) are predicted based on base pairing and cross-species conservation -- their extents are not known.
Source: RNAcentral
UGAUUGUCCAAACGCAAUUCUUGCGCUGCUUCCUCCUGCGACAUCCAAGGGUUGCGUGUGGACAUCUGC